Pseudomyrmex gracilis is the source of this 392-nucleotide long non-coding RNA. RefSeq lists it as uncharacterized. The record is from RefSeq and is a predicted model, not a curated record. Lineage: Eukaryota; Metazoa; Arthropoda; Insecta; Hymenoptera; Formicidae. The transcript has 3 exons.
UAUCUAAUUACCUCAUUUAUAAUUUCUGAUUCUUUCUUCAAGUGUUCGAUCAACAGAUGUUUCCAAUUGUAAUAACCAGUAAUUAAUCCUAGAAGAUCGCCUGCGACCAGUGUUCUCGUAAAGGAGGAAGCAUAUUCGAAAAAAAGUGAAGCCGGGUGACAUCCGUUUGGCCACACGGUUCGGGGUGUAAUAAAAUUAGCUUUUGCUAACUACUUUUUCUGAUUAUGAAGUUGGUGACAGUGUAACUAACUUACAUUGACGAACCGACGCAAGAAAGUAAAUGUGGUGAGAGUGAGAGAAUAAAAUGGGAUAAAAGUGCAAAGGACAAUUAGCACAACAAAAAUAUAUAAGUAACAGAUAUAGACAAGACAAUAAAAAAACCAUUAAAAUGU